Molecule: long non-coding RNA, 1944 nt
Organism: Anolis carolinensis (green anole)
Lineage: Eukaryota; Metazoa; Chordata; Lepidosauria; Squamata; Anolidae
Exons: 5
Source: RefSeq, a predicted model, not a curated record
GGGACUGAGGAGGAGAUAUUUAUUUUAGCUUGGGAAGCUGGGAAGGAGACCUCCAAAGGUCUUCUUCUCUCUCUUACCUGGCCAGAAACUAAGUCCCUUCCCUUUGGACAUAUAGAUAGGGAGGUGAAUCGGUAGGUAGAUAGAUAGAAACGUGGGUAGGUAAAUAGAUGAGUAGAUAAAUAGGUAUGUAGAAAGUUGUGUAGGUAGGUAGGUAAAUAGGUAGGUUGAUAAGUAGAAAAGUAGGUAGGCAGAAAAAUGAGUAGUUUGGUAGGUAGAAAGGUAAGUUGGAAGAUAGAUGGUUAAGUAGAUAAAUAGAUAGGGAGGCGAAUAGGUAGAUUGAUAGAAAGGUGGGUAGGUAAAUAGAUGAGUAGAUAAAUAGGUAUGUAGAAAGUUGUGUAGGUAGGUAGAUAAAUAGGUAGGUUGUAGGUAGGCAGAAAAAUGAGUAGUUCGGUAGGUAGAAAGGUAAGUAGGUAGAUAGAUGGUUAAGUAGAUAAAUAGAGGUGAAUAGGUAAGUAGAUAGAUAGAAAAGUGAGUAGGUAGGUAGGUAGAAAGGUAAGUAGGUAGAUAGAUGGUUAAGUAGAUAAAUAGAGGUGAAUAGGUAAGUAGAUAGAUAGAAAAGUGAGUAGGUAGGUAGGUAGAAAGGUAAGUAGGUAGAUAGAUGGUUUAGAUAAAUAGAGAGGUGAAUAGGUAGGUAGAUAGAUAGAAAAGUGAGUAGGUAGGUAGGUAGAAAGGUAAGUAGGUAGAUAGAUGGUUAAGUAGAUAAAUAGAUAGGAAUAGGUAGGUAGAUAGAAAAGUGAGUAGGUAGGUAGGUAGAAAGGUAAGUAGGUAGAUAGAUGGUUAGGUAGAUAAAUAGAUAGGAAUAGGUAGGUAGAUAGAAAAGUGAGUAAGUAGGCAGGUAGGUAGAAAGGUAAGUAGGUAGAUAGGUGGUUAGGUAGAUAAAUAGAUAGGGAGGUGAAUAGGUAGGUAGAUAGAAAAGUGAGUAAGUAGGUAGGUAGGUAGAAAGGUAAGUAGGUAGAUAGGUGGUUAGGUAGAUAAAUAGAUAGGGAGGUGAAUAGGUAGGUAGAUAGAAAAGUGAGUAAGUAGGUAGGUAGGUAGAAAGGUAAGUAGGUAGAUAGGUGGUUAGGUAGAUAAAUAGAUAGGGAGGUGAAUAGGUAGGUAGAUAGAAAAGUGAGUAGGUAGGUAGGUAGAAAGGUAAGUAGGUAGAUAGAUGGUUAAGUAGAUAAAUAGAGGUGAAUAGGUAAGUAGAUAGAUAGAAAAGUGAGUAGGUAGGUAGGUAGAAAGGUAAGUAGAUAGAUAGAUGGUUAAGUAGAUAAAUAGAUAGGAAUAGGUAGGUAGAUAGAAAAGUGAGUAAGUAGGUAGGUAGGUAGAAAGGUAAGUAGGUAGAUAGGUGGUUAGGUAGAUAAAUAGGGAGGUGAAUAGGUAGGUAGAUAGAAAAGUGAGUAGGUAGGUAGGUAGAAAGGUAAGUAGGUAGAUAGGUGGUUAGGUAGGUAAAUAGAUAGGGAGGUGAAUAGGUAGGUAGUUAGAUAGAAAAGUGAGUAGGUAGGUAAGUAGAAAGGUAAGUAGGUAGAUAGAUGGUUAGGUAGAUUAAUAGAUGGGAAUAGGUAGGUAGGUAGAUAGAAAAGUGAGUAGGUAGGUAGGUAGAAAGGUAAGUAGGUAGAUAGAUGGCUAGAUAGAUAAAUAAAUAGGCAGGGAGGUGAAUAAGUAGUUAGACAGAAAAGUGAGUAGGUAAGUAGGUAGAAAGGUAGGUAGGUAGACAGGUAAAUAAAUAAAUGCUGUGUUCGAGUCCUUUUCGUUGGAGGUUUUUAAGCAAAGGGCAGAGGAAGGGACUGGAUUGUGGAUUCCUAGAUGGCGGAAAGGGGGUGGACUAGAUGGCCUUUGGGGCCCCUUCCCAUUCUGUGCCGGACUCACUGCUGCCCAGGGUGGUGACCAAGAUGGGCCGGGAGU